UUUACUAAAUCCCCCAAUCCUAAUUCAUUUCUCUCUACCCGCUGCCUUUGAAUACCCUUCCUCUCCCACUCUCUCUUCAAACCCUAGACGCCGCCACCCAAGAUAACCCUAGUCCAUUCGAUUCUUGCUGGUUUUCAUGGCUUCUCAGGUCGUGAAAACCUCAUAUCACUCUUGUGUGCUUGGUACUCAAAGGUAUCCACAUAGACCUCCGCCGACAUGAGGUCUCCAGCCAUCUCUGGCCUGGCUCUGGCAUAUCUUAGCCUCCUGAGCCCGUUUCCAGUCUUAUCAGACUUAGAUCAGACAUUUUCAAAGCCUUUCUCGUUUUAGGGUUCGCCUGAAACCCUAGUUGUUCGGGGUUCUUUCUCUGAUUCUCUUCAUAUUUGUGAGUAUUCAAGGAUUACUUUGAGCUUUUAAAAGGUUUCCCCAAAUUUUCUUUAUUAAAUUCUUUAUCCAAAGUCACUCUUUUCUGGUUUAGGGUUUUCCGAAAAAAUGUUUUAGUAUUUUCCGAAUUUUCUUCAUGCUUUCCUAUCUGUGUUUUAUAUUCUUAUGUGUUUUUGCAUACAUGUUCUUCUACCACGUUUUCUGUAUCUUUUGUUCUUUUUUCCCCUAUGUUUUCACAUGUUAUGUUUCUAUGCUAUGUCUCACAUGCUAUGUUCUGCUACUUGCUUUCCUCCAUGGCUUCAUAUGCUUCGCCUACUGAUUUUUCCUACCGUGUUCAUUAGGUGUCCUUACUGUGCCCGCUUAUGCAUACUUUGGCUCUACUGUUUCUUUUACUCCCAUUGUGUUUUGAACUCUGUUUGCAUUAAGCCUCC
Molecule: long non-coding RNA, 812 nt
Filed under: Nicotiana benthamiana
Lineage: Eukaryota; Viridiplantae; Streptophyta; Magnoliopsida; Solanales; Solanaceae
Description: long non-coding RNA (NBEN_LNC026356)
Source: RNAcentral